AGUGUUUUGGGGUUUGAAGUUGGAAUCUUCAGCUACUGUCAAGAACAGCCACAAAAAUGUGUCACGAUCAAGAUCUUUGAGAGUCCACCAAUCAGGAGGCGUCUGUGACAGUCGCUGUCUUCUCAGAACAGAAUCCACACCCAGGAUUCAACCCAAAUGAUUUCUCAUCAGGGGGGACUUGUCCCCAUGUCCGUGUCCCUGGGGGAGGGCAGCUAUUUCCGAGUGUCUCUUCAGGGACAGCAGACCCACUGGAUGAGGGCCCGAAAAUGGUUUCAGCACCUGUGUCAGGCUCUGCUUUUGGGGUGAACUCAAGAUAAGACAAGGUGAGCAGAUCCCAUCUCACCAGUCAGGGAGGAAGCGCCAUCGGAGCAGAGACCUGAAGACAAUUCCAGGAAACCUGGCAAUGAAAGGUGAGAGAGAAGCUGAUUAUGGCCAGGUCUGGCACAGAAAGCCCCUGUUUGUGCAAUCCUGCAUUCUUCCUUUUUAA
This 487-nucleotide long non-coding RNA is filed under the name Homo sapiens (human). RNAcentral describes it as "non-protein coding lnc-C16orf95-2:19". Lineage: Eukaryota; Metazoa; Chordata; Mammalia; Primates; Hominidae. The record is from RNAcentral.